This 394-nucleotide ribosomal RNA is filed under the name Vibrio parahaemolyticus. RNAcentral describes it as "bacterial SSU rRNA". It matches the Rfam family "Bacterial small subunit ribosomal RNA", at positions 1 to 391 of the family's 1533-position model. Lineage: Bacteria; Pseudomonadati; Pseudomonadota; Gammaproteobacteria; Vibrionales; Vibrionaceae. The record is from RNAcentral.
UUUAAUUGAAGAGUUUGAUCAUGGCUCAGAUUGAACGCUGGCGGCAGGCCUAACACAUGCAAGUCGAGCGGUAACAGGGGAAGCUUGCUUCCCGCUGACGAGCGGCGGACGGGUGAGUAAUGUAUGGGGAUCUGCCCGAUAGAGGGGGAUAACCACUGGAAACGGUGGCUAAUACCGCAUAAUCUCUUAGGAGCAAAGCAGGGGAACUUCGGUCCUUGCGCUAUCGGAUGAACCCAUAUGGGAUUAGCUAGUAGGUGGGGUAAUGGCUCACCUAGGCGACGAUCCCUAGCUGGUCUGAGAGGAUGAUCAGCCACACUGGGACUGAGACACGGCCCAGACUCCUACGGGAGGCAGCAGUGGGGAAUAUUGCACAAUGGGCGCAAGCCUGAUGCAG